Molecule: ribosomal RNA, 172 nt
Filed under: uncultured bacterium
Lineage: Bacteria
Description: partial 16S ribosomal RNA
Rfam family: Bacterial small subunit ribosomal RNA
Source: RNAcentral
ACUCCUACGGGAGGCAGCAGUGGGGAAUAUUGGACAAUGGGCGCAAGCCUGAUCCAGCCAUGCCGCGUGAGUGAUGAAGGCCCUAGGGUUGUAAAGCUCUUUUGUGCGGGAAGAUAAUGACUGUACCGCAAGAAUAAGCCCCGGCUAACUUCGUGCCAGCAGCCGCGGUAAU